This 533-nucleotide long non-coding RNA is filed under the name Eucalyptus grandis. RNAcentral describes it as "long non-coding RNA (EGRA_LNC004408)". The record is from RNAcentral. Lineage: Eukaryota; Viridiplantae; Streptophyta; Magnoliopsida; Myrtales; Myrtaceae.
UCGGGGAUGGGAACUCCUUGGUGACCCUGAAUGUUCAUGUUGAAUUUCGAAUGCACUGAGAGGAGCAGUGUCUGUAUGAGGGCAAUGCUAGCCUAGGAUGACAAGCAAACCAGAUCCAAAUCCGAACUCAUUUAUGCUCAUCUUCCACAGAAGAUCCUUGUCGGCCGCCCUAGUCACCAUAUGCCGAGAAAAGGAUGCGAUCAAUUAAUGGUUGCCUACUAUAUCCUCUAUUUCCACUGUAAGACACUUUCAUAACUUAAAAAAUUAUCUACUUGUGUAUGUUUUUCCUGCUAGGAUCAUUCACGAAAAGCCGGAAGGGCGAGAUACUAAUACUAAUAAUGGAGAAUUUCAGGACUCCCAUUGAAGUGCUUCUUGCCCUGGACUUUUCCCCCUCGCAGAGUUGACCAAAAUCUCCAGUGACAAUCUGCAACUAAAAGGAGCUGCCCCUCAAUCCACAGAGCAGAACAAAUGGACCAUUUUGCAGGGGUCAUGUCCAAAUGCUGUGUGCGGGAUACAGAUCAAGAAGGCCCAAA